Non-coding RNA from Heterocephalus glaber (naked mole-rat), 322 nucleotides. NCBI's taxonomy places the organism in Eukaryota, Metazoa, Chordata, Mammalia, Rodentia, Bathyergidae. The record is from Rfam.
GGAUGUGAGGGCGAUCUGGCUGUGACAUCUGUCACCCAUUGAUAGCCAGGGUUGAUUCAGCUGAUCUGGCUGGCUAGGCGGGUGUCCCCCUCCUCCCUCACUGCUCCACAUGGAUCCCUCCAGAAGCUGAGUGCUCGGUUGAAGAGGAUGACCACUCCCGAUAGAGGAGGUCUGUUUCCUCAGUCAAGGGUAUGUCAGUAGCUCGGCUCCACUGCUAGAACCUCCAAGCAAGUUCUCAAUUUAGGUAGGAACUGAGGUCUUUAUUGAGCACAUACUAUAAUGCUUGGGUCUGAGAAUAUAUUUAUUUUAUAUAUAUAUCAUU